CAAAGGAAUUGACGGGACCCGCACAAGCGGUGGAUGAUGUGGAUUAAUUCGAUGCAACGCGAAAACCUUACCUACCCUUGACAUGUCCGGAAUCCCGAAGAGAUUUGGGAGUGCUCGCAAGAGAACCGGAACACAGGUGCUGCAUGGCUGUCGUCAGCUCGUGUCGUGAGAUGUUGGGUUAAGUCCCGCAACGAGCGCAACCCUUGUCAUUAGUUGCCAUCAUUUGGUUGGGCACUCUAAUGAGACUGCCGGUGACAAACCGGAGGAAGGUGGGGAUGACGUCAAGUCCUCAUGGCCCUUAUGGGUAGGGCUUCACACGUCAUACAAUGGUCGGUACAGAGGGUUGCCAACCCGCGAGGGGGAGCUAAUCCCACAAAGCCGAUCGUAGUCCGGAUCGCAGUCUGCAACUCGACUGCGUGAAGUCGGAAUCGCUAGUAAUCGUGGAUCGGCAUGUCACGGUGAAUACGUUCCCGGGUCUU
This 479-nucleotide ribosomal RNA is filed under the name uncultured Rhodocyclaceae bacterium. RNAcentral describes it as "bacterial SSU rRNA". It matches the Rfam family "Bacterial small subunit ribosomal RNA", at positions 902 to 1382 of the family's 1533-position model. The record is from RNAcentral. Lineage: Bacteria; Pseudomonadati; Pseudomonadota; Betaproteobacteria; Rhodocyclales; Rhodocyclaceae.